UACGGGGGGAGCAAGCGUUGUUCGGAUUUACUGGGCGUAAAGGGCGCGUAGGCGGUCAGCACAAGUCAGUUGUGAAAUCUCCGGGCUUAACUCGGAAAGGUCAACUGAUACUGUGCGACUAGAGUGCAGAAGGGGCAACUGGAAUUCUCGGUGUAGCGGUGAAAUGCGUAGAGAUGUGGAGGAACACCGAUGGCGAAGGCAGCCUCCUGGGAUGACACUGACGCUCAUACACGAAAGCGUGGGGAGCAAACAGG
Molecule: ribosomal RNA, 254 nt
Filed under: uncultured bacterium
Lineage: Bacteria
Description: partial 16S ribosomal RNA
Rfam family: Bacterial small subunit ribosomal RNA
Source: RNAcentral